ACUAUAGUGAUGAGUAGGGUGACUAGGUAGGAAUUCUUUGCCUACCCACUCUGCUCCUUUUUCCAGGUUCCUCUUUCCUGAAGUCCUCUUCAAUUAAAACCUUGCAACUUUGGGGAAUAAGUGAGAUAAAAAAAAAUUGCAAUGAUUUAAGUACUUACUGAACACCAGACCCUGUGCUAAAACAGUCAUUUAUACUUACCUUGUUUUCACAACUUAUGAGGCAGGUGCUACUCUCAUCUGUGAUUUUCACUCUUAAAUCAUAUAGCCUGGUAGCAGAGGAGCCUGAUAUUUGAUCCAGGGCUCCUUUAUGCCAAAAUAUUUACUCUCAAUUUCUACAGAGGGCUCCCCAACAUCUAUUAUGUCAUUUAGCCUGGUCAGGACCAAAUAUGGCUAGGAGCAGAGACAAAUCCUUCUGUAACUGAGGUAGAGUUCAGCCUUUGCAGUGCAGCCACAAGAAAAACUGAAGCACAAUCUGAUGGCUGCUGCCUCAUGAGUGUUCUUCCAGGAAAUGGAUUUCCUUUCCUGUGGUUCCUUUAAGGAAGCCCACACUUCUGGUACCUGUGAAGGGUAAGCGGGGACCUUCCUAGACUCAUCUUUACUACAGGAAAUGAGAACCUUUCCUAUUCUUUCCAAUAUACUUCGUUCAUCUCAGUAACUUGUCCUAAGUCUUUUGACUCUUAGGAGUCAAUAUCUCCUAACCCAAAGCACAUUUGUGCUCUACAGAUGGUGGCAAGGUGACUGGUCAGUGCACCAAAAUCUCUUUUAUCUGCAUUAUGCUGGACGAUUGAUAGUAUGGUCAAACUCAGAAUAGAGUUGCUGAAGACUGUGAAAUUAAUCGAAGCUCUUUCACACUCCUUUCAUCCCAUAGCAAUGACAAGCACAUAGUAGUAAAUAAUAAUAGAUUGUAUUUAAUGAGAAUUUUCCAAAUGUUUGAUAGUGCUCCACAUGAAUGAUCUCUUUUGGCCUACAGAGCAGCAAUAUGCAGUGGACACAUUGUGAGGCUCAAGAGAUUGAGGCUGAGAGAAGUUAUGUAAUUCCCAGUGUCCCAGAGGUGAAUAAGUAUGCACAUCCAAGCAGGAUUGGGGGUGGGGCACUCUCUUACCAGCACAGCAGACUAAGAAGGAGCCAGGUCAGAAGAACCCAUGAUAGGCUUUCCCAGGGUCAGACUGAGGUGGAUAACUAACUGCACCCAUUAAUGUCUAAGAGGACCAGUCACGUUCCUCCCCGUGACCUGUGGGACAGGAGGCAAUGACUUAGGCAAUGACAGGAGGCAGUGGCUGCAGAAGAGAGGACUCCCUCAGCUCUGAGCUCAGCAAAGACUUCCAUUUGUACCUCGCAGCUCUCCAUGGCACUAGGUGGCUUCAUGCAUGAAUGUGUGGGGACGGAGCAUUUCCAAUUCUCUCAUCUGUUCCAGGACUUUCCCCAGGGCUACUUCAUUCCCAGGUUCAGCCCAGCUCCACAUGGGCACAUUGAACCCCUCACCCCAAACAGAGCUCACAAAGAUGCCAUUCUCUCUGGGCCCAGACUCCUUCCCUGCAAAAAUAAAGAAAAAAUAAAUAAAAAUAGUAAUAGAUCCAACCAUAAAUUCUAUGAAUUCGCUGUAAUAAAACAUAAAAGUUGCAUGAAUUUAACUCAGGUUGAUUCCCUAACUUUGCUAUGGUAUGAGUAAGACACGUAACCACUUUAAAUGUCCAUUUUCUCAUCUGUAAAAUUAGAAUGAUAAGAAUAAUGUCUCAUAGGGAAGCUGAUGGGGUGAAUAUUAUAAAACUACAUGAAAAUGGGGCAAUGAGAUAGCAGAGAUGGGACUUCGUCUGACUUCCCUGUGAGAACUCCGGGAAGCCAAAGGUUCUCAAGGCCAAUUUAGAAUUCCAGAAUUACAGUUUUCUGGUUACAAACUGUAUGUCUUUUCUGUUCUGGAAUUGAAAAGGACCAUGCUUUCUUACACUACUCGGUGUCCGGUAUAAGAAACCACCAUAACCAACUUUUUUUUUUGCCUGUCCUGGGACUUGAACUCAGGGCCUG
This is a long non-coding RNA of Perognathus longimembris pacificus (Pacific pocket mouse), 2022 nucleotides long. RefSeq lists it as uncharacterized. The record is from RefSeq and is a predicted model, not a curated record. The transcript is spliced from 5 exons. Lineage: Eukaryota; Metazoa; Chordata; Mammalia; Rodentia; Heteromyidae.